RNAcentral lists this transfer RNA (62 nucleotides) under Achatinella fulgens. RNAcentral describes it as "tRNA-Gly". Lineage: Eukaryota; Metazoa; Mollusca; Gastropoda; Stylommatophora; Achatinellidae. The record is from RNAcentral.
AUUUUUAUAGUAUAAAAAGUAUAUAUAUUUUCCAAAUAUAAGGUCUUAGAGUAGUAAAAAUA